UAUGGGAAUCGAUUUAGCCAUGCUAGUUGCACGAGUUCAGACUCGUAGCAUAUAGCUCAGUAACACGUGGCCAAACUACCCUACAGACCGCGAUAACCUCGGGAAACUGAGGCCAAUAGCGGAUAUAACUCUCAGACUGGAGUGUCGAGAGUUAGAAACGUUCCGGCGCUGUAGGAUGUGGCUGCGGCCGAUUAGGUAGAUGGUGGGGUAACGGCCCACCAUGCCGAUAAUCGGUACAGGUUGUGAGAGCAAGAGCCUGGAGACGGUAUCUGAGACAAGAUACCGGGCCCUACGGGGCGCAGCAGGCGCGAAACCUUUACACUGCACGACAGUGCGAUAGGGGGACUCCGAGUGUGAGGGCAUAUAGCCCUCGCUUUUCUGAACCGUAAGGUGGUUCAGGAACAAGGACUGGGCAAGACCGGUGCCAGCCGCCGCGGUAAUACCGGCAGUCCAAGUGAUGGCCGAUAUUAUUGGGCCUAAAGCGUCCGUAGCUUGCUGUGUAAGUCCAUUGGGAAAUCGACCAGCUCAACUGGUCGGCGUCCGGUGGAAACUACACAGCUUGGGGCCGGAAGACUCAACGGGUACGUCCGGGGUAGGAGUGAAAUCCUGUAAUCCUGGACGGACCACCAAUGGGGAAACCACGUUGAGAGACCGGACCCGACAGUGAGGGACGAAAGCUAGGGUCUCGAACCGGAUUAGA
Molecule: ribosomal RNA, 700 nt
Filed under: Haloarcula sp. A2BC9
Lineage: Archaea; Methanobacteriati; Methanobacteriota; Halobacteria; Halobacteriales; Haloarculaceae
Description: bacterial SSU rRNA
Rfam family: Archaeal small subunit ribosomal RNA
Source: RNAcentral